GAUGAACGCUGGCGGCGUGCCUAAUACAUGCAAGUCGAGCGAACAGACGAGAGUGCUUGCACUCUCUGACGUUAGCGGCGGACGGGUGAGUAACACGUGGGUAACCUACCUAUAAGACUGGGAUAACUUCGGGAAACCGGAGCUAAUACCGGAUAAUAUUUAGCUUCGCAUGAAGCAAUAGUGAAAGACGGUUCUGCUGUCACUUAUAGAUGGACCCGCGGUGUAUUAGCUAGUUGGUGAGGUAACGGCUCACCAAGGCAACGAUACAUAGCCGACCUGAGAGGGUGAUAGGCCACACUGGGACUGAGACACGGCCCAGACUCCUACGGGAGGCAGCAGUAGGGAAUCUUCCGCAAAGGACGAAAGUCUGACGGAGCAAUGCCGCGUGAGUGAAGAAGGUUUUCGGAUCGUAAAACUCUGUUGUAAGGGAAGAACAAGUACGUUAGUAACUGAACGUACCUUGACGGUACCUUACCAGAAAGCCACGGCUAACUACGUG
RNAcentral lists this ribosomal RNA (499 nucleotides) under uncultured bacterium. Its description in RNAcentral is "partial 16S ribosomal RNA". It matches the Rfam family "Bacterial small subunit ribosomal RNA", at positions 28 to 507 of the family's 1533-position model. The record is from RNAcentral.